RNAcentral lists this ribosomal RNA (468 nucleotides) under uncultured bacterium. RNAcentral describes it as "partial 16S ribosomal RNA". It matches the Rfam family "Bacterial small subunit ribosomal RNA", at positions 28 to 507 of the family's 1533-position model. The record is from RNAcentral.
GACGAACGCUGGCGGCGUGCUUAACACAUGCAAGUCGAACGGAAAGGCCCUGCUUUUGUGGGGUGCUCGAGUGGCGAACGGGUGAGUAACACGUGAGUAACCUGCCCUUUACUUUGUGAUAACUUCAGGAAACUGGGGCUAAUACCUGAUAGGAGCUCCUGCUGCAUGGUGGGGGUUGGAAAGUUUCGGCGGUUGGGGAUGGACUCGCGGCUUAUCAGCUUGUUGGUGGGGUAGUGGCUUACCAAGGCUUUGACGGGUAGCCGGCCUGAGAGGGUGACCGGCCACAUUGGGACUGAGAUACGGCCCAGACUCCUACGGGAGGCAGCAGUGGGGAAUAUUGCACAAUGGGCGGAAGCCUGAUGCAGCAACGCCGCGUGCGGGAUGACGGCCUUCGGGUUGUAAACCGCUUUCGCCUGUGACGAAGCGUGAGUGACGGUAAUGGGUAAAGAAGCACCGGCUAACUACGUG